CUCAAAUAUAGAAAGUGACCUAGAAAUGCUGUGUAUUUUGGGUUGUAUUUAUGUAUUAGUUGGGCCAUCGUAAGAUACCUGUAUCAACUGCUAGCUAGCAUAAUGGAGGCAGAGGAAAGACAUGGAGCUGGGUUGGAGAAGUCCAUGAAAAUUCAGAGGUAUCAAAACAUCUUUGUUAUAUAUUGAGGUAUUUGGGCAAUGUUAAACCCUAUUGGACUAAAUAGGGAUGGAAACUAAAAUAUAAACCUUUCUUUAAUUUGGGUACGAGUAGGUGAGAAAGCAUGACCUAAGAUUACAUUUGACUUAGAUGUAACAAUUCCAUCCCCUUUCAAUGAAUAUGGACUAAAUAGGUAUUCAGGAUUUCUCUGUUCAAUUCUUUCCUGGGAUUUUUUUGCACUUGGUUUUUCUUGGGUUUGUACAAAGGGAACAUGUUCUUGAAUCCAUCCAUCCCUUUACUGUAUCAUUGCAGUCUCAUGAGCUUGAAACAGUGAUCAAAUGAACAAAAUUUAUAGCAUAUUUUUUACCCCAUCUAAGCUUUACACAGGCUACUUAAUUCUGAUAUUGUUUUCACAAAUUUUUUUUGACCAAUCCGAACUACUCGAAAAUACAGGACUCCUCGGAUGUCUAAUCUGUGUCAACACAGUCCAUGUGUCUGUGCCCGUGAGUAUUUGGGGAAGAAAUUGUAUUGCUCUGUUAAAAGGUUGAAUGUGUAAUUUGAUAUAUUUAAUUUUUAAUUUAUUUUCAAUGUGCUACUAAUACAACUGUUAAUAUUGCCACGCCUGAAGUGUCCUUGAAUGCUUCCACUCAUUAGCGUUGUUUGUUUUAUUGUAUUUAAGCACUGCCUUAAUAAAUUCUCUGUUGUUCUGUGUAAUGCUGAAUUCAGUUCCAUGAGGGGCUUUCUGUCUUGUUUAAACUUUAAAUUGGAAGCAUCCUGGAUCAUUUCACUUGUCUGCUCUUCAUUGGGUGUCGAAGUAAUUACUAGAUUUUUCAGAUUGAUACAUUUGGUUGGUUAUUCGGCUCCUGGUCGACCUGUGCCCCC
Long non-coding RNA from Esox lucius (northern pike), 1039 nucleotides. Lineage: Eukaryota; Metazoa; Chordata; Actinopteri; Esociformes; Esocidae. The record is from Ensembl.